This 253-nucleotide ribosomal RNA is filed under the name uncultured bacterium. Its description in RNAcentral is "partial 16S ribosomal RNA". It matches the Rfam family "Bacterial small subunit ribosomal RNA", at positions 524 to 776 of the family's 1533-position model. The record is from RNAcentral.
GACGGGGGGGGCAAGUGUUGCUCGGAAUCACUGGGCGUAAAGCGCACGUAGGCGGCUCUUUAAGUCAGGGGUGAAAUCCUGGAGCUCAACUCCAGAACUGCCUUUGAUACUGAGGGGCUUGAGUCCGGGAGAGGUGAGUGGAACUGCGAGUGUAGAGGUGAAAUUCGUAGAUAUUCGCAAGAACACCAGUGGCGAAGGCGGCUCACUGGCCCGGUACUGACGCUGAGGUGCGAAAGCGUGGGGAGCAAACAGG